GAUGAACGCUGGCGGCGUGCUUAAUACAUGCAAGUCGAGCGAACAGACGCUGAGCUUGCUUCUCUGUCGUUUGCCGAGCGCGUGUGUGUCACACGUGGAUCCUCUCCCUAUCUUACUGGUAUCACUUCGAGACACCGGCUCUUAUCCCAGAUAAUCUCUUGCACCACGUUGUUCGUUAGUGAGUGACGGUCUUUCUGUCUCUUCUCGCUGCUUUCGAGCUGCAUUAGCUAGUUGGUAAGGUAACGGCUUACCAAGGCGACCCUGCCUAGACGACCUGUGAGAGUGAUCGGCCACACGGGAACGGAGACACGGACCAGAGGCCUACGAGAGGCAGCAGAAGGGAAUCGGCCGCAAUGGUCGAAAGUCUGACGGAGCGACGCCGCGUGAGUGACGAAGGCCUUCGGAGCGGAAAACUCUGUUAUGAGGGAAGAACAGAUUUGGAAGGAACUGUGCACAGCGUGACGGUACCUAGUCAGAAAGCCACGGCUAACUACGUG
This 497-nucleotide ribosomal RNA is filed under the name uncultured bacterium. RNAcentral describes it as "partial 16S ribosomal RNA". It matches the Rfam family "Bacterial small subunit ribosomal RNA", at positions 28 to 507 of the family's 1533-position model. The record is from RNAcentral.